Molecule: ribosomal RNA, 277 nt
Filed under: uncultured bacterium
Lineage: Bacteria
Description: partial 16S ribosomal RNA
Rfam family: Bacterial small subunit ribosomal RNA
Source: RNAcentral
GAUAAACGCUGGCGGCGUGCCUAACACAUGCAAGUCGCACGUCCUCUCUUGCUUCGGCAGGAGAGGGAGUGGCGGACGGGUGAGUAACACAUGGGUACCUGCCCUCCAGUGAGGAAUACCGGCGAGAAAUCGCUGACAAUACCGCAUACGCCCGGCAACGGGCAAAGUUUCUCGCGAGAGAGGCGCUGGAGGAGGGGCCUGUGGCCGAUUAGCUAGCUGGUGGGGUAAGAGCCUACCAGGGCGACGAUCGGUAGCUGGUCUGAGAGGACGAGCAGCC